Molecule: long non-coding RNA, 1875 nt
Filed under: Homo sapiens (human)
Lineage: Eukaryota; Metazoa; Chordata; Mammalia; Primates; Hominidae
Description: HSALNT0190456
Source: RNAcentral
AGGGAAGAAAAAUAGAGACUUUCUUGCUCUUUGCUACACUGGGAGCAACCGGAGAGCUUGUGUGUUUAAGCUCUUUAAACAUCUAGAAGAUAACUCAUUACGGAUCAUCACGGCGGAUGGGAGGCAGGACUAGAUUGCAGCUCUGGACAGAGCAGCUUCUGAAAGCUCACAUUGUGAAUUUUAGCUACAGAUUGACUGCAAGUACAAGCCAGCAAUCCCGAGAGGACCCACAGACCCUCUGAAGGAAGCAGACUGCUCCUGUGGGACCCAGGAGACACCCCAAAUACUAACUUUUCAGUGUCAGUGGACAACAAGAAACAGAAGACUAAACUAUCAAGAUGGAGAAAACAUUUUUAAUCCUAUCUACUAAUGGAAACUACAUGUAGUUUAUCCAGAGCAGCCCCUAUGAAAUAAGAAGCAGCAUAGCAUAGUUAGGAGCAUAGAUUCUGGAACCAAAGUACCAGCUCCACUGCUUACCAGUGUGUGACCUCAGAAUACUUCCACUGGGUACAGACAUUCAGAGCUGGCAGUUAUUUGCUUCUCUGUGCAUUGAGGUUAUCGAUCUACUGCCUCCUAGCUUCCAGUUUCUAUUGUGCUAUCGAGAAGUUGACUGUCAGUCUAACCCUUAAUCCACUAAACAGAAUUAUGUUUUUCUCUAAAUCAUAUUUUUUCUGUAGCUUUAUUACAAUGUGUAUUUCAUUAUAUUUAACCUACUUGUGAUUUGUUGUGCUUAAGCCUAUUGAUUGCCUGUAAUCCCAGCACAAUGGGAGGCCGAGGCAGGCAGAUCACUUGAGGCCAGGAGUUCGAGACCAGCCUGGCCAACAUGGUGAGACCCUGUCUGUGCUAAAAAUACAAAAAUUAGCUAGGCGUGGUGGUACAUACCUGUAAUCCCAGCUACUCAGGAGGCUGAGGCAGGAAAAUCACUUGAACCCGGGAGCAGAGGUUGCAGUGAGCCGAGAUUUCACCACUGCACUCCGGCCUGGGCAACAGAGUGAGACGCUGUCUUAAAAAAAAACAAACAAACAACAAAAAAAAACUUGUUGAUUGUUGACUUUCAUUAUUUCUCAAAAAUUUUCUCCAAAUAUCCUCCUACCUAUUAUUUCUCUCCACUCUUUCUGAAAUGCUUAGUUAAGUUCAUGUUAGUCCUUACGAUCUUAUCUAGUAUUGUUUCUUCACCUAUUUUCCUCUCAUCUUUUUUACUUUCUGAUUCAUUCUGGAUAGUUUUUUUUUUUUUGCCUUAUCUGUCUGUACAUAAAUUUUCUCCAGGUUUGACUAACUUGUUCUAUUUGAUUCAUUUUCAAAUCUGCUAGAUCACAUUUGAUAGAUUUCUGUCCCCUGAAUCCAGUUUCAUUUUGCCUUUUAUUUAAAUAGUAAAUAGUGUUGUUUUACAGACUGUCAUAAUUCUAGUAUCUAUAGAUUUGCAGGAUUUCUUUUGAUUAUAGUGUCUGCUGGUUCUAAUCUGUAAUACUUCAUUUCUUUGUGUUGUCUUUGACUGUAUGCUGUAUAUUAUUAUAUGCUGUAUGUAAUACCCUAAAAAGGCUGGGCAUGGUGGCUCACGCCUGUAAUCCCAGCACUUUGGGAGGCCAAGGCUGGUGGAUCACCUGAGGUCAGGAGUUCAAGACCAGCCUGGCCAAUAUGGCAAAACCUUGUCUCUACUAAAAAAUAUAAAAAAUUAGCCAGGCAUGGUAGCAGCACCUGUAAUUCCAGCUACUCAGGAGGCUGAGGCAGGGAGAGUUGCUUGAACUUGGGAGGAGGAGGUUGCAGUGAGCCGAGAUUGUGCCACUGCACUUCAGCCUGGGUGACAGAGUGAGACUCCAUCUCAAAAUAAAUAAAUAAAUAAAUAAAGUAUUAUUUGUAGAAAUAACUUGAAGCCUG